AUUACGGAACGAAGCGGACGCGUCGCUCCUCGAAUACAAUAUUUUAUUUCGUUUGAUGUUUAAAAUUAAUUACAUCGAUACCGUGUAAAUAAAAAAUUUAACGUGGAUAAAAAACCCGCGUCGACACGAUCUUAAAAAAUUUUGUUUCAUACAUAAAAAAAUAUUUUAAACGUAACGUACGAUACGAAUUCGCGUUGAUCGAAGGAGUUAAUCGAUCCUUUUUUUUUUAGGAAUCGGCAUCAUCGGUGGAAAUAUCGAAAUGGAGCGUGUCUUGGGAAAAAAUGCUAAACGUCGGAAAAUAUUAUACCGUCCUAAUUAGCAUUUUAUAACCGAGUGGCGGGGGCCCCUUCACAUCCCACAAAAGAAGCGGAAACCUUUCCCUAUCGUGGGGCGCGCCGGGUGCACCGGUCGUCAAUUAAACACGAAAACUACUCUAACGCGAAUUACAAAUGCAAAAACGUUCUUCUAUCUUAAAUACCGUGAAAUUCGGCCCUUGAACGCGACACAAGUGCGCGACCUCGUACUGAACAACCGUAAUACGCGUUUAAUAUUCAGCUGAAUUUUAGGUAAACUUAAUGCGCGCUUAAUAUUCGCCCCCAUCUGUCCGCCGUAGGAGAAAACGUAAAAAGAAAUUUGCCGCGCGAAUUGCGUACGACGAUGAUUUCAUUUAGACACGAAAUAAAGGAAGGAAAAUUUGGAGGAAUCUUUUCGAUUUAAAAAUCGAUCUCUGUGAAGGAUUACUUCUUUCUCUUUUCUGUAAUAAAAAUUAUUACCAUUUCGAUCGAAAACACUGUAGUCCAAGUUAGAAAGGAUAAGAAAAUAUUAUCAGAAAUCACAACGAAAAGAAAUAGUGAUAAAGAUUACUACUUUCAGUGAUAUUCGUCGUAUAGGUUGUAUUUGAGCGAUAGAAAAUAUUAUUAUCGAAGCUUAGAAUUAUUAUCGUGGAUAGAUGAUGCACACGAAGAUCUUCUUGCAAAGCCCCCUCCUCAUCCAGUAGAUCAAUCAUGACUAACUUUAUUAAAUUUUCAUCGGCACCGUGUAUAUCCCUUCAUCUCAUUUUCCACGCUUUGUACACGAUACGUGUACCGCUCCCCCUCUCGUGUUUAUCAAUUUUGAGCCUCGUAGAGUUCACUUCUCCAGAAUUAAUUUAACCCAUUAAGUAGAUACUAAACCUUUAAGACGCGCACAUGCAUCCCGUGAAUGUCGUUGAUGUGGAUUAUAGACGCGCCAUAUGUGCCUAGCAAAGCCUUGAUCUGGCGUAAACCAUAGCGUAAACCCGUUUAACUUGCCUCCCUCCUCGUUCUUGUCUUUCAUAAAAAAAGAAUUUCUACUUAUCGAAUCAUCGAUUGUUAUCCAAAUACGACGUAGAUAAUAAAUAGAUCCGUUUGUAUUCAUCCACUGAAAAAAAAAUUUCUUCUGAAAAGAAUUCUCUUCAAUUUUCCCUCGAUUUCUACUCGGCUAUUCAGAGGAGGAGGAGGAGGAACGUUGACGAGGCAACACGAAGCCAUAAGCUCGUUUCUAAGUUAGGGCAUUUGUAGUUGGCGCGAUCCUCGAUCCUCGUCUCGUUCUCUCGAACUCCGUGAAUCCGUGAAGUUUCGCGAAAUGUGCAAAUUUAUUUACACACCGGUAAAAUGCGACCCUCCUCCUCCUCCCCCUCCUCCUCCCUGCUUCUAUGUAAAUGGUUGACGCAUUAGGGGAGCGUGCCACUUUUAACAAUAUAUUAAUAUUAAUGGGGGAGCGUUUACGAAAAGGGGAGGGAGGCGCCAACUAUUUUCCCCUCUCUCCCUUGUCCGGGACGCGAAUUGUAAUUGCGCCCGUUAUUAAUAUUCAUUCCGAGAUUACCGGCUACCAACUUUCACGCGCGACUUUGAGCAUCCACCGAAUUUCCGGAAGGAAAGCCGUUUCUUAUCGUUUUCGAAACCGAGUCUCUCUCGGUUUUUCUCCAUGGUGGAGGAGAGUGUACUUAUUUUGUUAAUUUCUCUGUAAUUUGUAACGUGAAUAGUUUCGUUUAGUGUUUCGGAAAGGAAAGGAGAGAAUUGUUUUUUCGUUGUUAGUUUUUUAAAUAAUGGUAUUUUUAAAUAAAGGGAGGAGAGAGGUGCGUAAUGAUAGUGUAUGUAGAAUAGCGAGAGAGUGAAUUGUUUAAACAAUUAAUUCGUUGAAACGAUAAAAUAAAUCUGUUCCCAGGUUGAAACGAGCGCGAAAUAUUGCGGAAUGAAUAUAAUGGGCCGCAUUCUCGAUAAUUUACCAGCAGUUUGAAACUUCAUUAGCAUAAUCUUCUUACGAUUUAAUGCAUUUCUUAUGUUCGAGGCAAGUUAUUAACGAGACUAUAAUAUUAUCGCGACCGACGUAAAAAUCUAAGACAGUUCCUCUGUUAUUGCGUAAGAAAAAAAGGAAAAAAGAAGCAAUGAGAAGAUUUAUACCCGCGUGAAUAUUUUUCAUUUCAAGAUUCCACCCGUUCGAAAUUCCACCCGUAAAAAUACAUAUUUCCCUUUACAUUCUUCCUAAAUUAUCUCAAAUAUGUACUAUAUAAAGGGGCAAGUCUUUUCAAGAUUUUAAUAAGGCGCCCUUUGUCACGGCCUUCUUAGAAGGGAAAAAUUUAAUUAUAAUUAAAAAAAAAACAAAAAACGAGAGAUAGAAAUCAACAUUUCAACUAGUGUCUCAAAUUUUACAACCCCACAUCUUUACAAAAUCGCGAAAAACUUGCAGAAGAAAAUAACUCAGAAAAGACUCAACGAAUUAAUAUUUCAUAAUGCAAAGAAUCAAGAUUCUUUGUUCAAAAUCUAUAUAUAUAUUUUUUCGACCGAUUCUUCUUGUUGAAACCUCGACGUUGAUAAACUUUGCGCGAAAACUUAUUACACACACACACACACACACACACACACACGCGCGCGCGCGCGCAAAGUCCCUGCUACGCGGUAUCCAAAGUUUCUCACAUAAAUUAACGAGCUUCCCCGCAGCAGCCCACUUUUUUCUCCACUUGCAAACGAGCAAACUACUCGGCGCGGCCAUCUUCGUCGAGCCACCUUUGACCUUCGCCGGCAUAACGCGACGCCGGCUUCCUUUUCCGAUUAAGCCCCGGCCAAAACUUUGGAGCGGCCGCCCACGCGCGAUCUUGUUAACGGUAAUGACGAAAAUGAUCCUUGACGAAAAUCGAGAAUUUUAAUUGGGGAGGGAGGGGGAGAGUUGAAAUUUCACCGCGGUCGGAAACAAAAGAUUCGGUCGGGGAACAAAAAGCCGGGCGAUCAACCCGUUUUGGGGGGAUUGUAAUUAAUAUUAAUUAAUAACGGAAAUUUAAUCCGAAACCCGCCGCUUUUACACCGUGUAUCCCGCCUUAAUUACCAGCCAAACAAAUGCGAAUUAAAAUUGAUAUGUCGGUAAAUUAACAGCGUCCCUUUGCGGAUGAUCGAAUGGAUGAUCCGUUUCGAUGGAAUAACGGGAUAAUCGAUACUCUUUUAGAACAUUGGAUCAGGCAAGUGCGAAAUGUAGCGUGAAAAUUUAACAAGUGUAAUUCAACGGCGGAUAACCCACCCGCGGUUAAACCGAAAAUGAAAUAUCCGUGCAAUUAUCCGUGGAAAAACUUUCUUCUUUUGGAGUUUUUAGAGAAAUAAAUUCAGUAUUCAAAAGUUAUCUUUUUUAUCCACUGAUAAAAUAACGAUUGAAGCUUUCUGGUAGAAGAUUUUUAUCGAAAUAUCAUCGGUAUCGUAUAUUUCUUCGAUAAUAGCUUCCUUUUUCUGAAAAUAUCCACCCCCUCCCUUCCAAUUAAAUUAUACAGAUCCUUUCCACUAUCACCCCCUCUCCAAGGGACACGUGCAAUUACGCAAUUCCUCUUAGAGGAAAGGAGGGGGGGAUUAAUUACAACGUUUUAAUUCUACGCCGCGACAGAGGCGAGCUUCGAUCGUGCGAACCAUCCAUUCUUCUCGGUCGAGAAAAAGGAGGAAAAGAAAAACGUAUCCGCGAUGGCUGUACCCAGGGUAAACACUAGAGGGUGGGAAAAAAAAAAAAAUGGGGGGAAAAAAAUAGCCGCGGAAGGGCAACGCGAUUCGUCGAAGCGAAUCCCCGCGCGAUUUAACGACGCCUACGCUUCUCUCGUAACGCGUUUCCGGUAUUUAUUUAUGCGCGGGACGAUAAUAAACACGCGAGAAUAAUUCUUUCUCACGAGGAAGAAUUUUUAGCCUUUAAUCUAGGAUCGUCCUCCUCGCGAGAAGGAUCGACCUCAUCUACCUUCAUCUUCAUCUUCUUCUUCUUUUUUUUUUUCUCUUCUGCGGGACGACCUCCCUUUUUUUUUUUUUUUACGACAGCCCGAAUAACAAUUCGCUCGGUAAUUAAGCGAAAAUGAAUUUUUCAUAUUGGCUAAUGAGAAUAAAUUUUUAAUGGCGAAGGGCGGCCGAAUAACAACUUCUUUUCUCACGAUUAUGCAGCUGAAAAGAUGGAUUUUUAAAUAUCAUAGGGGGGCGAACGAGGUUAUUAAAAGGAAUUUUUAAUCAAUCUUUAUAUUCACCGACGAAAAUUCCCUUAUGCAAAUAUAAAAUGUUUCUUCGAAUUCCCUCCAAUUCUUUGUUGUCGAGAAAGAAUUUUUUUUCUUGUGCGUAAUUAUUUAACUUUUUCCUUUUUUAAGAAGCGUUAAACAGAACCUCUUUCCCCAAAAAAUCCUAUUCUUUCGAUACUAAUACUUGCUCAAAAAUCACAAAAUAAUCCAUAUAACUCCUUUUCAAAAAAUCAUUUCAGGGAUCCUCGUCAGGGAUUGGAAAUCUUUCUCGCGGCGAGAGAAGAAGGGGAGGAUGCCUCCAACUUAUCGCGUCCCACGAGCAGAGGCGAGGAGGAACUUUACCACGGAAGAAAACGCGAUAAUUGCGCCCGGCCAAUUUCGCCCGCGAGAACACGACAGGUGGAGAGGAAAUACCGUGGAUUCCGAUUAAUUUCCUAAAACUGAGGCAAAGUGUGAACCAAGUGGGGAGGGGAGGAAUUCUGGCCACGCCAAUAGGUCAAACCCUCCGCCUCGAGCAUCCACCCACGAAACAAAGUCAUUCUUUAAAACUCGUUGCAUCAGCUUCAACCCCGAUCCAUCCGUUACAAUGGCGUGUAACGGCCUCCUACACACCCUUCCAUCGUGCAAAGAGAGAGAGAAACAGCCGUGCAAACAGACAUUCCAAUUCCAAUUCUCCUCUUGGAAACGCUUUUUUCCCGCCCCCUGUUUACCGGACUCCGUAACGAACCAACUCUGUCUCCGGGAGAACCAUCGUCAAAAACCUGUUUGCUCUCGAUUUCCACCCUCCUCUCCUGUUGUCCACGGAGGCCAAGGAACGUAUCGAGCAGGAAACAGCCAAGAUGACAAUCGGCCGAAUUCACAAUCGAGUGCUCUUUCGCAGGUUGGCUAAUUUCGAUGGAAGUAAAUUUCUCUCUGAAAGAUCAUAUAAAGAAUGGAUCGAUAUAUACAUUGUAUUUUUAUUUAUAUUCGUGUCAGAUCAAGUUCUAGCAGAUUAAGCUUCACGCUGGAUCAAGCUUCGUGCGCCUCGGAUCAUCUCACACCACCCAGGCCAAAACUUCUUCCCAAAGAGACACUUUCCUCCCCCCCUGUCUUGACAAUACCACACGUACUAUCAAAGUUAUCUCAACUGCUCCCCUGCUCCUCCAACCCUUUCUAUCCUCCAUCGUUACUCAAGACAUUUUCCAACUAUACUAGAAUAAGGGUGGAGAAUCCGUAUUCUUCGUCAGCUGAAGUAAAAUUACGUAAAUUCGAUAGAGAGGCAGGAAACAAUUUCGCGCGUUUCGAGGAUGGAAUAUUAAAUCGGCGAGAACGGCAGUUGUCAACAUCGUACGAACGAUUAUCGUGAUUCUGGAGAAGAUUGGAUCUUUCCAACGUGCGAAGGAAUUUGACUACAAGAAACAAGGAAAAAUUAAGGAAAGGAUCAACAAAGUAUCGAUUAAUUUUCGAGAACGAUUCGCAUCGGGACAAAGUCGUGUAACGCGUUCAAGCGUCAAACUCGAGAAAGAAGGAAUCUAUCAAUACGUUAACCCAGUUGUUCGAAGCAAGUAUCGAAAAAGCAAUCGGUGCACAAGUUUCGAAUUCAAUUUGUCCAAGAAUCCAAUCGAGCGACUCUUCAUCCUACGAAAUUUGUUUUCUCUGUUAAAUAACGAGGAAAAAUGCACGGCUAUCGAAAGAUUUGCAAAGUAUCUCUCUAUAAUCUUAUAAAAUCUUCCAUUCUUCUCGAAUCGAAGAAUAAUUUAUUAUACGA
Apis mellifera (honey bee) is the source of this 6233-nucleotide long non-coding RNA. RefSeq lists it as uncharacterized. The transcript has 3 exons. Lineage: Eukaryota; Metazoa; Arthropoda; Insecta; Hymenoptera; Apidae. The record is from RefSeq and is a predicted model, not a curated record.